Molecule: ribosomal RNA, 1614 nt
Filed under: Gregarina cuneata
Lineage: Eukaryota; Apicomplexa; Conoidasida; Eugregarinorida; Gregarinidae
Description: SSU rRNA
Rfam family: Eukaryotic small subunit ribosomal RNA
Source: RNAcentral
GAAAAGUGGAGACCUGCAGUCGGUUGUGACGUCGACGUCUGGAGGCGGGUGGGCGAACGGGCGGAGCGAGAUCGAGGUGGGUGAGUUAACCGAGGGAUGUCCAUCGAGGGGGGUUCUGUGGCUAAUACAUGCAGGCUCGAGACGAGCACACAUGCUAGCUUUGAAACCAAUUAGUGAUGGUCUGAACAAUGUGUCGAUUGAUACAACAUGCCAAAUAAACUUCAAACCUAUCAGCUCGUCAGUAUACUAGCGGUUUACUGAGGCGUCGACGGGUAGCGGGGAAUUAGGGUUCGAUUCCGGAGAGGGAGCCUGAGAGACGGCUACCACAUCUAAGGAUGGCAGCAGGCGCGCAAAUUACCCAAUCCCGAUACGGGGAGGUAGUGACUUGAUAUAGCAGCGGUGAACUUAUGUUCGCCGAUUGCAAUGAAUGAAUUGUAAAGGUGUUUGUUAGUAGCAAUUGGAGGGCAAGUCUGGUGCCAGCAGCCGCGGUAAUUCCAGCUCCAAUAGCAUAUAUUAAAGUUGCUGCAGUUGAAGCGUUCGUAGUCGGAUCUUACGUGUGAGUCUUGAAAAAGACAAGCACAAUUGAUAGCUGGCAAGCCAGUUUAUUAGCGGUUACUUUGAGGAAAAGAAUUAGCUCAAAUUGAGUUUUUGUUUGGUUCUUGUAGCAUGGAAUAACACAAGAAGCUUUUCUUUGUGGGUUUCACAAAUAAGAGAAUAAUCUACAAGGAUGCACGGAGGCACCUGUAUUUACAGGAGAGAGGUGAAAUUCUGAGACCCUGUAAAGACAAUCAAUUGCGAAAGCAUCUGCCUAGUGCGUUCCUGCUGAUCAAGGACGAAAGUUGGGGUAUCCAAGACGAUUAGAUACCGUCGUAGUCCCAACAGUAAACAAUACCGACAGGAGUUUGGUAGAUUAUGUUGUCAGACUCUCGAAAGAAAUUCGAGUUUUUGGGUCCUGGGGGGAGUAUGGUCGCAAGACUGAAACUUGAAGGAAUUGACGGAAGGGCACCACCAGGAGUGGAGCCUGCGGCUUAAUUUGAGUCAACACGGGAAAGCUUACCAGACCCGAACAUGGUCGUGAUUGACAGAUGGAGAGAUCUUUCUUAAUUCUAUGGGUGGUGGUGCAUGGCCGUUCUUAGUCGGUGAGGCGACUUGUCUGGUUAAUUCCGAUAACGGACGAGACUUUUGCUGAUUCUUUGCAAAUGCCAAUUAAAUUGGUAAUGUCAUGAAUAAGGACUCUGGGGGUUCAACCUUAGGUAAGAUAGAAGCUAUAACAGGUCUGUGAUGCCCUUAGAUGGUCUGGGCUGCACGUGUGCUACAAUGAUUUUGAAAAUAAGCUGUGGAAUUCGCAAGAUAAACGCAAUCAGACAAUCAAAGUCGUAUAGGGAUUAAAUUUUGUAAUUGUGGUUUAUGAACGAGGAAUUCCUAGUAAGUAUAGUUCACUAUUGUGUGCUGAUUGCGUCCCUGCCCUUUGUACACACCGCCCGUCGCUUCAACCGAUUGGACGACCCGGUGAAUGCCGCGGAGGCCAGUAAUCACGCUGCCGAAGUGGUGUAAACCUUGUCGUUUAGAGGAUGAAGAAGUCGUAACACGGUAUCCGUAGGUGAACCUGCACAA